This 304-nucleotide non-coding RNA is filed under the name Nannospalax galili (Upper Galilee mountains blind mole rat). Lineage: Eukaryota; Metazoa; Chordata; Mammalia; Rodentia; Spalacidae. The record is from RNAcentral.
GCUGGGCACAGUGGAAUGUGCCUGUAGUCCCACAUGCUUGGGAGGCUGAAGCAGGAGGUUCACUUGAGUCCAGAGUUUCUAUGCUGCAGUGUGCUAUGCUGACCUGUUGGGCACACUAAGUUCAGCAUCAGUAUGAGAUCCUGCUGGGACUUGGGAGCUCCAGGUUGCCUAAGGAGGGGGUAACUUGAACAGAGUUUAAAACAGAAAAGAUCAAAACUCCCUAUGCUGACCACAAUGUGGAAAUGUAUUUUGAUGGAUCAGAGAGCAUAUACUUGUAUAUCUAGACUCACAUUAAUAGAGCUUA